UACCCCGGGGAUAACAGGCUUAUCUCCCCCAAGAGUUCACAUCGACGGGGAGGUUUGGCACCUCGAUGUCGGCUCAUCGCAUCCUGGGGCUGUAGUCGGUCCCAAGGGUUGGGCUGUUCGCCCAUUAAAGCGGUACGCGAGCUGGGUUCAGAACGUCGUGAGACAGUUCGGUCCCUAUCCGUCGUGGGCGUAGGAAAUUUGAGAGGAGCUGUCCUUAGUACGAGAGGACCGGGAUGGACAUACCUCUGGUGUACCAGUUGUCGUGCCAACGGCAUAGCUGGGUAGCUAUGUGUGGACGGGAUAAGUGCUGAAAGCAUCUAAGCAUGAAGCCCCCCUCAAGAUGAGAUUUCCCAACUUCGGUUAUAAGAUCCCUCAAAGAUGAUGAGGUUAAUAGGUUCGAGGUGGAAGCAUGGUGACAUGUGGAGCUGACGAAUACUAA
This 439-nucleotide ribosomal RNA is filed under the name Staphylococcus aureus. Its description in RNAcentral is "partial 23S ribosomal RNA". It matches the Rfam family "Bacterial large subunit ribosomal RNA", at positions 2464 to 2904 of the family's 2925-position model. Lineage: Bacteria; Bacillati; Bacillota; Bacilli; Caryophanales; Staphylococcaceae. The record is from RNAcentral.